CCUACGGGAGGCUGCAGUGGGGAAUAUUGCACAAUGGGCGCAAGCCUGAUGCAGCCAUGCCGCGUGUGUGAAGAAGGCCUUCGGGUUGUAAAGCACUUUCAGCGGGGAGGAAGGCGUUAAGGUUAAUAACCUUGGCGAUUGACGUUACCCGCAGAAGAAGCACCGGCUAACUCCGUGCCAGCAGCCGCGGUAAUACGAAGGGUGCAAGCGUUAAUCGGAAUUACUGGGCGUAAAGCGCACGCAGGCGGUCUGUCAAGUCGGAUGUGAAAUCCCCGGGCUCAACCUGGGAACUGCAUUCGAAACUGGCAGGCUAGAGUCUUGUAGAGGGGGGUAGAAUUCCAGGUGUAGCGGUGAAAUGCGUAGAGAUCUGGAGGAAUACCGGUGGCGAAGGCGGCCCCCUGGACAAAGACUGACGCUCAGGUGCGAAAGCGUGGGGAGCAAACAGGAUUAGAUACCCGUGUAGUC
Molecule: ribosomal RNA, 465 nt
Filed under: uncultured Klebsiella sp.
Lineage: Bacteria; Pseudomonadati; Pseudomonadota; Gammaproteobacteria; Enterobacterales; Enterobacteriaceae
Description: bacterial SSU rRNA
Rfam family: Bacterial small subunit ribosomal RNA
Source: RNAcentral